RNAcentral lists this ribosomal RNA (301 nucleotides) under uncultured bacterium. Its description in RNAcentral is "partial 16S ribosomal RNA". It matches the Rfam family "Bacterial small subunit ribosomal RNA", at positions 509 to 807 of the family's 1533-position model. The record is from RNAcentral.
CAGUCGCCGCGGUAAUACGUAGGGUGCAAGCGUUAAUCGGAAUUACUGGGCGUAAAGCGUGCGCAGGCGGUUAUAUAAGUCAGACGUGGAAUCCCCGGGCUCAACCUGGGAACUGCAUUUGAGACUGUAUGGCUAGAGUGUGUCAGAGGGGGGUAGAAUUCCACGUGUAGCAGUGAAAUGCGUAGAUAUGUGGAGGAAUACCGAUGGCGAAGGCAGCCCCCUGGGAUAACACUGACGCUCAUGCACGAAAGCGUGGGGAGCAAACAGGAUUAGAUACCCGCGUAGUCCCUGUCUCUUAUAC